UUUUCAGUAGAGCAACGCUUGGAGGUAAUUAUUAUAUUUACUCAUAAAACAUUGCACUUGAUACUUAUUUCUUGCAUGUCUGUUAACUUGCAACUUAGGUUCUUAGUUUGGUAAGCACACAGAUACAUGGCUACAUAUUUCAUUUCUAUAUAAGCAGUAACAAGAAAGCUACUGUGAUUUGUGACUAUUGAGUAUUUGAACAUUACACAGUCAGUACGGUUUUUUGAGGUAAAG
Molecule: unclassified non-coding RNA, 234 nt
Filed under: Hevea brasiliensis (rubber tree)
Lineage: Eukaryota; Viridiplantae; Streptophyta; Magnoliopsida; Malpighiales; Euphorbiaceae
Source: RNAcentral